CAAUUUUCAGCGACGGAUAUCUUGGCUCGAGCACCUAUGAAGGGCGCAGCGAAGUGCGAUAAUCGUUAUGAAUUGCAGAACUCCGUGAACCAAUGGCCUCUUGAACGUGCAUUGCGCUCUUGGGAUAUGCCUGAGAGCAUGUCUGCUUCAGUG
This 153-nucleotide ribosomal RNA is filed under the name uncultured Symbiodinium. Its description in RNAcentral is "5.8S ribosomal RNA". It matches the Rfam family "5.8S ribosomal RNA". Rfam says of the family: 5.8S ribosomal RNA (5.8S rRNA) is a component of the large subunit of the eukaryotic ribosome. The record is from RNAcentral. Lineage: Eukaryota; Dinophyceae; Suessiales; Symbiodiniaceae.